GACAAGAGGAUUUUUAUUUUAAUUUAUUGGGUAAAGAGGAAGUUUCUCUUUUAUUAUAAAUACAUGAAGGACCAUUUGUUUUUCUUUAAAACUUCAACAUACACACAUUUUAACCAAAUACACACACAACACAGAUAUACCAAACACACUAUAAAACUUUGGACCUCAUUUUCUCUUCUUCUCCAAUGGCCAUAUCGCCGGCAAACAAACAUUGACGAUGACAAACCCCAUUUUCCCUACUACCAACCUCUCAUUUUCUCAUUUUUUUCGACCAAGCAUUGUCCAACAAGCACACCACCACCGCCGCCAAAACUCCAACAAGUCUUACCACCGCCGCGUCCCUUUUUCCUUCCUUUUCCUCUUUCCUCUCUCCCUUUUUCCUCUAUCCUGUCAUGCCUCGCAGGAGUUGAUCACCGGCGGGAGAAGCUCCAGUCUCCACCACCAUCGAUGCCACCCCAAUUUUCACUUUAUUUUUCCCUCUUCACUAUCCUUCCUCUCCAUUCGUCAUACCAUUGAUGGCUAGAUUUGGCUGGGACUUUGUGUAUUCGGCGUUGCUCCGACGAAAGGCGUUGAAGCUACACCGGUUCUUGGGAACACUUGUACAAAAGGGCACUCAAAAGAAGAGUUCGAGUUUUUUAUGUUUGUAUUUUUACGUUCUUUCAAUUGUACAAAUAAUAUUCUAGUAAGAACUUUAUUUUUUGGGUGUUA
Capsicum annuum is the source of this 708-nucleotide long non-coding RNA. RefSeq lists it as uncharacterized. The transcript has 2 exons. NCBI's taxonomy places the organism in Eukaryota, Viridiplantae, Streptophyta, Magnoliopsida, Solanales, Solanaceae. The record is from RefSeq and is a predicted model, not a curated record.